Molecule: long non-coding RNA, 1950 nt
Filed under: Salmo salar (Atlantic salmon)
Lineage: Eukaryota; Metazoa; Chordata; Actinopteri; Salmoniformes; Salmonidae
Description: lncRNA (ENSSSAG00000097213.1, ENSSSAG00020071142.1, ENSSSAG00075035009.1)
Rfam family: UnaL2 LINE 3' element (bases 60-113)
Source: RNAcentral
CCCUAAAAGAUUUAGAUGCACUAUUGUAAAGUGGUUGUUCCACUGGAUAUCAUAAGGUGAAUGCACCAUUUUGUAAGUCGCUCUGGAUAAGAGCGUCUGCUAAAUGACUUAAAUGUAAAUGUAAUAAUUUUUACUUGCUGUGGUCAAAAAAAGCAACCAUUACAAAACCUACUUAUCAGGGCAAAAUUAGAAUUUGGAAACUUACAGAUCAUGUGCCAUGGUGAAACAACUUUGAUUAGCUUCAACUCCAGCGCCACAGUCUUCACCCUCUCAAACUUCUGGCAGGCUAGACAGGGUACUGAACUUUUUGCAAAAAGUGACAAAUUGAAACAUCAGAAGCAUAGGUUGAUUUUGGCAAUCACUUCACUCCGAAAUGGCCAGCAUGCAUCUUGGUCAGCAUGGCCUCCUCCUCCUUAGUAAAAAUCACCCUCCUGUGUGGCUGGCCAUCCUUUCCCAGUAGGUAGAUAUGAUUGCCUAACAAAUUGGAAGAAGACUUGUUGAAAUACUCAAGUCUAAGUACAUUUGCACUGCCGUCUUUUGCUCUGUCUGUCACUCUCUUACUUUCAUCCUCCCCUGUGUCUGUCUAGCAAAGACACCUAGUUAAGGGCAUUUGUAAUUACCAUAAUUGCUUACAGCUAUCCAUUUGAUUGAUCAGGUUUAACUUAUAGCUAGACACCUCAAUAUGACAGACAUAUAAAUAUAUCAGUGGAGGCUGCUGAGGGAAGGACAGCUCAUAAUAAUGUCUGGAAUGGAGUCAAUUGUAUGGCAUCAACCACAUGGAAACCACGCGUUUGAUACCAUUCCAUUUAAUCCAUAUUACGAGCCAUCUCCUCAGCAGCCUCCGCUCCACUAAACUAAAUGUAUAGCUAGCAACUAGCUAACGUUAGAUUGAAAAUGGUUGUUGAAAAAUGGUUGUACAUAGCUAAAUCCGUCCAGUUAUCUAAUUGAAGUUAACUGCUUAACGUUACCCUGAAUUGUGAAUUUCUCUGAAUGUUGCACCUCUUGUCGAGAUCAUAGUACUUCGCCUGGUUAGAAAGAUAAAAGAAAAUAUCCUCGAGGGAUGCCGUUGAAGUGCAAGCUAACGUUACAUACAAACAGAAAGCUGUAAUAACAGUUACAGUAGCUUGCUUGCUUGCUUGUUAGCUAAAUAAAACUGUCAGGCUGGCUAACGUUACUGUAGCUGACUAGGCAGGCUGAGAUAUAUAAGUACAGUAACGUUAGUUAGUAACGUCAGUCUAAAAACAGCUUAAAUUAUUUAUUCCUAUUUGUACUUGUAUAAAGACAAAUAUAUUGUAGCGACCCGCACAGACAGCUGUGGGUUAUCUGUUAGGCUAUUAGUGGGUUGUGUUGUACUUACCAGUGUUCGCGGGGUCAUGCCAAUCAACCUGCUAUCUGCCAAUCACGGGAAUGCCUGGAAUGUUCUGAUACCGGGCAGCCUGGUGGUUGGCGGAGGGGGGUUGGGCAGGGGGAUAGAGCAUUGGAAGUUAAAACCGGGUUUAGCCAUUGUUCUCUCUCUUACGUCUGGGCUUCACAAGAGAAGGUCACGUUUGGUUUGUAGGGUGCCUUUCAUUUAUUUGGCGUGGGCUACGGCCAAACAGUAGCCUGUGUUAAGUUGGGUUAAUAAACCGUCAGUUUGUUAACUCAAUCAUCUGUCUGGACAAUUGUUCCUUUAUGAUCUAGUCAGGUCAUUACAAUAUGGUAAAGAAAGUGUUCUCUUUCCAGUCUUUUCGGUCUGAAGCAGCAGGUAGUCAGCAGGUUGUCAUCGUUAAAAACACCGUCCUUGGAGAGAAAUUCUGAGGUAAUAAUUUUGCUCGGACUGAGCGAGCGAUUUUGCGGUGAAAUAGAACUAGAACUGUCUGCAUCCUCCUUCCUUCGCGACCGCUACGAGGUAAAAUAGAGCUAAGCAACCAGCAUAGCAACGGACGCUUUGGUUCAUUACGUAAUCCGGCC